This 482-nucleotide ribosomal RNA is filed under the name uncultured Ascomycota. RNAcentral describes it as "eukaryotic LSU rRNA". The stretch from base 157 to 310 matches the Rfam family "5.8S ribosomal RNA". The record is from RNAcentral. Lineage: Eukaryota; Fungi; Ascomycota.
UCAUUAUCAAAAGUCAAGUCGGGGGCUGUAAAGCUCUCGUCUACACCCAUGUCUUUUGCGUACUCUUGUUUCCUCGGUGGCGCAAGCUGCCGAUUGGACAAACCAAAACCUUUUUUGUAAUUGCAAUCAGCGUCUGAAAAUAAUCUAAUUAUUUACAACUUUCAACAACGGAUCUCUUGGUUCUGGCAUCGAUGAAGAACGCAGCGAAAUGCGAUAAGUAGUGUGAAUUGCAGAAUUCAGUGAAUCAUCGAAUCUUUGAACGCACAUUGCGCCCCUUGGUAUUCCAUGGGGCAUGCCUGUUCGAGCGUCAUUUGUACCCUCAAGCUUUGCUUGGUGUUGGGCGUCUUGUCGUAUUACGACUCGCCUUAAAUCUAUUGGCAGCCGGCACUUUGGCCUAGGAGCGCAGCACAUUUUGCGAUCGUAGCCCGUUGUACUGGCGUCCAUCAAGAACAUUUACCACGUUUGACCUCGGAUCAGGUAGG